This 468-nucleotide ribosomal RNA is filed under the name uncultured bacterium. RNAcentral describes it as "partial 16S ribosomal RNA". It matches the Rfam family "Bacterial small subunit ribosomal RNA", at positions 28 to 507 of the family's 1533-position model. The record is from RNAcentral.
GACGAACGCUGGCGGCGUGCUUAACACAUGCAAGUCGAACGGAAAGGCCCUGCUUUUGUGGGGUGCUCGAGUGGCGAACGGGUGAGUAACACGUGAGUAACCUGCCCUUGACUUUGGGAUAACUUCAGGAAACUGGGGCUAAUACCGGCUAGGAGCUCCUGCUGCAUGGUGGGGGUUGGAAAGUUUCGGCGGUUGGGGAUGGACUCGCGGCUUAUCAGCUUGUUGGUGGGGUAGUUGCUUACCAAGGCUUUGACGGGUAGCCGGCCUGAGAGGGUGACCGGCGACAUUGGGCCUGAGAUAGGGCCCAGACUCCAAUGGGAGGCAGCAGGGGGGAAUAUUGCACAAUGGGCGGAAGCCUGAUGCAGCAACGCCGCGUGCGGGAAGCCGGCCUUCGGGUUGGAAACCGCUUUCGCCUGUGACGAAGCGUGAGUGACGGUAAUGGGUAAAGAAGCACCGGCUAACUACGUG